GUCGGCGUAGCUUAGUCCGGCCCAAAGCAGCGGUCUCCAAAACCGCGAUCGUCAGUUCGAAUCUGACCUGCCGCAACCA
Molecule: transfer RNA, 79 nt
Filed under: Mesorhizobium sp.
Lineage: Bacteria; Pseudomonadati; Pseudomonadota; Alphaproteobacteria; Hyphomicrobiales; Phyllobacteriaceae
Description: tRNA-Trp
Rfam family: tRNA
About the family: Transfer RNA (tRNA) molecules are approximately 80 nucleotides in length.
Source: RNAcentral